Molecule: non-coding RNA, 830 nt
Organism: Penaeus vannamei (Pacific white shrimp)
Lineage: Eukaryota; Metazoa; Arthropoda; Malacostraca; Decapoda; Penaeidae
Source: RefSeq, a predicted model, not a curated record
GUGUUAAGGGGAGUCAACUUCAAUGUCCAGAACCCUAAUGAUGUAGAUACAUAUGUAAAGCUAGAGUUCCCAUAUCCAUCUGACAACCCUCCCCAAGAUCGUUCCAAUGUGGUGAAGGACACAAACAAUCCAGAAUACAACCACAAGGUAGUCUUUAGUAUUGACCGCAAGGCAAGAGCACUUGCUCGUGUGUUCAAGAGGCAUUCUCUCAAGGUCCAGGUGUGGCUAAGGGUGGUUGGUUCCACCGAGAUACGAUGUUAGGCCAGGUGAAAAUACCUCUGGUGGACUUGGAAACAAAGUGCACCAUACAUGAGUCUUAUGAUUUGAUGGAUGAGAAGAAACGUAUGGUUGGUGGGAAGCUAGAGGUAAAAGUCCGCGUCAGAAAUCCUAUUGUAGCGAAACAGCUCGAAAAGGUCACUGAAAAAUGGUUGGUCAUUGAUGGAUUUUGAGAGAAACAAAUUAGGUUAAUGGAACACUUUUGCAAAUUUUUUUUUUCCCCAUGAAGUUAAUAGGCAUUUUAAAAUCGCUCUCUUUCUUCUUAACAGAUAAAACGUAUCUAGCUUUGAAUUGUUUUAGAAAGGAUUUUACCAAAGUUAGUUUUAUAUGACACUUACAUUGCCGUUUCUUUGUACAGUUUUAUAGAUAACAAACGUGAAAUUUCUCCCAAGGAACAAUGUAACUCAAAACUCAUUUCUCUUGCAGAUUAUAUUUAAUAUGCAUUAUAGUUACCCCAGUGCAUUUUUUAAUCAAGCUUUAUAAUAGGUAACACUUAUUUGUAAAUUAAUCUGUCCUGUCUCAAGCCACUGUCUCAAUAAACAUUAUCUUAUCUG